UAGCUCAGUGGCACAGCACCUGCCUAGCAAGCAUGAGGUCCUGAGUUCAAUUCCCAG
This 57-nucleotide transfer RNA is filed under the name Cavia porcellus (domestic guinea pig). It matches the Rfam family "tRNA", at positions 8 to 63 of the family's 71-position model. From Rfam's summary of the family: Transfer RNA (tRNA) molecules are approximately 80 nucleotides in length. Their secondary structure includes four short double-helical elements and three loops (D, anti-codon, and T loops). Lineage: Eukaryota; Metazoa; Chordata; Mammalia; Rodentia; Caviidae. The record is from Rfam by way of RNAcentral.